GUCUUAUUGAAUAUAAUUUUAAGUAUGAUCUGCCCAAUGAUUAUUUAAAUGGCUGCAGUAUUUUGACUGUACAAAGGUAGCAUAGUAAUUAGUUUCUUAAUUAGGAACUGGAAUGAAUGAUUGAACGAGAUAGUAACUGUCUUAAUUUAAAUUGUAGAAUUUUAUCUUUAAGUUAAAAAGCUUAAAUUUUUUUAAUAGACGAGAAGACCCUAUAGAAUUUUAUAUUGUUAAUAUAUUUAAAUAUUGGAUUUAAAAAUUUAAAUUUUAUUAUAUAUAUUUAGUUGGGGUGAUUAAAAAAUUUAAUAAACUUUUUUUUUAAUUUUAUCAUUUAUUUAUGAUUUAUUGAUCCAAUAUUUUUGAUUAUAAGAUUAAAUUACCUUAGGGAUAACAGCGUAAUUUUUUUGGAGAGUUCUUAUCGAUAAAAGGGAUUGCGACCUCGAUGUUGGAUUAAAGUUAAUUUUUAAUGAAGUAGUUAAAAUAUUAGGUCUGUUCGACCUUUAAAACUUUACAUGAUCUGAGUUUAAACCGGCGUGAGCCAGGUUGGAUUCUAUCUUUAAUAAAAAUUAUAUGUUUUAGUACGAAAGGACCAAAUAUAUGUUAUAUUAAUUUAUCUUGAAUAUUA
This 622-nucleotide ribosomal RNA is filed under the name Astagobius angustatus. RNAcentral's name for it is "partial 16S ribosomal RNA". The stretch from base 384 to 542 matches the Rfam family "Bacterial large subunit ribosomal RNA", at positions 2473 to 2632 of the family's 2925-position model. The record is from RNAcentral. Lineage: Eukaryota; Metazoa; Arthropoda; Insecta; Coleoptera; Leiodidae.